UAGGGAAUCUUCCACAAUGGGCGAAAGCCUGAUGGAGCAACGCCGCGUGAGUGAGGAAGGCUUUCGGGUCGUAAAGCUCUGUUGCCAGGGAAGAAUAAGGGUGUGUUAACUGCACAUCCGAUGACGGUACCUGAGAAGAAAGCCCCGGCUAACUACGUGCCAGCAGCCGCGGUAAUACGUAGGGGGCAAGCGUUGUCCGGAAUUAUUGGGCGUAAAGCGCGCGCAGGCGGCUCUUUAAGUCUGGUGUCUAAGUGCGGGGCUCAACCCCGUGAUGCACCGGAAACUGGGGAGCUUGAGUGCAGAAGAGGAGAGCGGAAUUCCACGUGUAGCGGUGAAAUGCGUAGAGAUGUGGAGGAACACCAGUGGCGAAGGCGGCUCUCUGGACUGUAACUGACGCUGAGGCGCGAAAGCGUGGGGAGCAAACAG
RNAcentral lists this ribosomal RNA (426 nucleotides) under uncultured bacterium. Its description in RNAcentral is "bacterial SSU rRNA". It matches the Rfam family "Bacterial small subunit ribosomal RNA", at positions 355 to 775 of the family's 1533-position model. The record is from RNAcentral.